UGGGGAAUAUUGCACAAUGGGGGAAACCCUGAUGCAGCGACGCCGCGUGGAGGAAGAAGGUCUUCGGAUUGUAAACUCCUGUUGUUGAGGAAGAUAAUGACGGUACUCAACAAGGAAGUGACGGCUAACUACGUGCCAGCAGCCGCGGUAAAACGUAGGUCACAAGCGUUGUCCGGAAUUACUGGGUGUAAAGGGAGCGCAGGCGGGAGAACAAGUUGGAAGUGAAAUCCAUGGGCUCAACCCAUGAACUGCUUUCAAAACUGUUUUUCUUGAGUAGUGCAGAGGUAGGCGGAAUUCCCGGUGUAGCGGUGGAAUGCGUAGAUAUCGGGAGGAACACCAGUGGCGAAGGCGGCCUACUGGGCACCAACUGACGCUGAGGCUCGAAAGUGUGGGUAGCAAACAGGAUUAGAUACCCUGGUAGUCCACACCGUAAACGAUGAUUACUAGGUGUUGGAGGAUUGACCCCUUCAGUGCCGCAGUUAACACAAUAAGUAAUCCACCUGGGGAGUACGACCGCAAGGUUGAAACUCAAAGGAAUUGACGGGGGCCCGCACAAGCAGUGGAGUAUGUGGUUUAAUUCGACGCAACGCGAAGAACCUUACCAAGUCUUGACAUCCUGCGACGCACAUAGAAAUAUGUGUUUCCUUCGGGACGCAGAGACAGGUGGUGCAUGGUUGUCGUCAGCUCGUGUCGUGAGAUGUUGGGUUAAGUCCCGCAACGAGCGCAACCCUUAUGGUCAGUUACUACGCAAGAGGACUCUGGCCAGACUGCCGUUGACAAAACGGAGGAAGGUGGGGAUGACGUCAAAUCAUCAUGCCCUUUAUGACUUGGGCUACACACGUACUACAAUGGCGUUAAACAAAGAGAAGCAAGACCGCGAGGUGGAGCAAAACUCAGAAACAACGUCCCAGUUCGGACUGCAGGCUGCAACUCGCCUGCACGAAGUCGGAAUUGCUAGUAAUCGUGGAUCAGCAUGCCACGGUGAAUACGUUCCC
This 995-nucleotide ribosomal RNA is filed under the name uncultured bacterium. RNAcentral's name for it is "bacterial SSU rRNA". It matches the Rfam family "Bacterial small subunit ribosomal RNA", at positions 355 to 1375 of the family's 1533-position model. The record is from RNAcentral.